AUUGAACGCUGGCGGCAUGCCUUACACAUGCAAGUCGAACGGCAGCACGGGGGCAACCCUGGUGGCGAGUGGCGAACGGGUGAGUAACAUAUCGGAACGUGCCCUGGAGUGGGGGAUAACUAGUCGAAAGAUUAGCUAAUACCGCAUACGAUCUACGGAUGAAAGUGGGGGAUCGCAAGACCUCAUGCUCGUGGAGCGGCCGAUAUCUGAUUAGCUAGUUGGUGGGGUAAAGGCCUACCAAGGCAUCGAUCAGUAGCUGGUCUGAGAGGACGACCAGCCACACUGGGACUGAGACACGGCCCAGACUCCUACGGGAGGCAGCAGUGGGGAAUUUUGGACAAUGGGCGCAAGCCUGAUCCAGCAAUGCCGCGUGAGUGAAGAAGGCCUUCGGGUUGUAAAGCUCUUUUGUCAGGGAAGAAACGGUGAGGGCUAAUAUCCUUUGCUAAUGACGGUACCUGAAGAAUAAGCACCGGCUAACUACGUGCCAGCAGCCGCGGUAAUACGUAGGGUGCAAGCGUUAAUCGGAAUUACUGGGCGUAAAGCGUGCGCAGGCGGUUGUGCAAGACCGAUGUGAAAUCCCCGGGCUUAACCUGGGAAUGGCAUCGGUGACUGCACGGCUAGAGUGUGUCAGAGGGGGGUAGAAUUCCACGUGUAGCAGUGAAAUGCGUAGAGAUGUGGAGGAAUACCGAUGGCGAAGGCAGCCCCCUGGGAUAACACUGACGCUCAUGCACGAAAGCGUGGGGAGCAAACAGGAUUAGAUACCCUGGUAGUCCACGCCCUAAACGAUGUCAACUAGUUGUCGGGUCUUAAUUGACUUGGUAACGCAGCUAACGCGUGAAGUUGACCGCCUGGGGAGUACGGUCGCAAGAUUAAAACUCAAAGGAAUUGACGGGGACCCGCACAAGCGGUGGAUGAUGUGGAUUAAUUCGAUGCAACGCGAAAAACCUUACCUACCCUUGACAUGGCAGGAAUCCCGGAGAGAUUCGGGAGUGCUCGAAAGAGAACCUGCACACAGGUGCUGCAUGGCUGUCGUCAGCUCGUGUCGGGAGAUGUUGGGUUAAGUCCCGCAACGAGCGCAACCCUUGUCAUUAGUUGCUACGAAAGGGCACUCUAAUGAGACUGCCGGUGACAAACCGGAGGAAGGUGGGGAUGACGUCAAGUCCUCAUGGCCCUUAUGGGUAGGGCUUCACACGUCAUACAAUGGUACAUACAGAGGGCCGCCAACCCGCGAGGGGGAGCUAAUCCCAGAAAGUGUAUCGUAGUCCGGAUUGCAGUCUGCAACCCGACUGCAUGAAGUUGGAAUCGCUAGUAAUCGCGGAUCAGCAUGUCGCGGUGAAUACGUUCCCGGGUCU
This 1352-nucleotide ribosomal RNA is filed under the name uncultured bacterium. RNAcentral's name for it is "bacterial SSU rRNA". It matches the Rfam family "Bacterial small subunit ribosomal RNA", at positions 28 to 1381 of the family's 1533-position model. The record is from RNAcentral.